RNAcentral lists this ribosomal RNA (493 nucleotides) under uncultured bacterium. RNAcentral describes it as "bacterial SSU rRNA". It matches the Rfam family "Bacterial small subunit ribosomal RNA", at positions 36 to 507 of the family's 1533-position model. The record is from RNAcentral.
CUGGCGGCGUGCCUAAUACAUGCAAGUCGAGCGGAAUGAUGAAGAAGCUUGCUUCUUCUGAUUUUAGCGGCGGACGGGUGAGUAACACGUGGGCAACCUACCUUGUAGAUUGGGAUAACUCCGGGAAAACCGGGGCUAAUACCGAAUAAUCCAUUUUGCUUCAUGGCGAGAUGUUAAAAGGCGGCUUCGGCUGUCACUACGAGAUGGGCCCGCGGCGCAUUAGCUAGUUGGUAGGGUAAUGGCCUACCAAGGCGACGAUGCGUAGCCGACCUGAGAGGGUGAUCGGCCACACUGGGACUGAGACACGGCCCAGACUCCUACGGGAGGCAGCAGUAGGGAAUCUUCCACAAUGGACGAAAGUCUGAUGGAGCAACGCCGCGUGAGUGAAGAAGGUUUUCGGAUCGUAAAACUCUGUUGUAAGGGAAGAACACGUACGAGAGUAACUGCUCGUACCUUGACGGUACCUUAUUAGAAAGCCACGGCUAACUACGUG